Molecule: ribosomal RNA, 468 nt
Filed under: uncultured bacterium
Lineage: Bacteria
Description: partial 16S ribosomal RNA
Rfam family: Bacterial small subunit ribosomal RNA
Source: RNAcentral
GGCGAACGCUGGCGGCGUGCUUAACACAUGCAAGUCGAACGGAAAGGCCCUGCUUUUGUGGGGUGCUCGAGUGGCGAACGGGUGAGUAACACGUGAGUAACCUGCCCUUGACUUUGGGAUAACUUCAGGAAACUGGGGCUAAUACCGGAUAGGAGCUCCUGCUGCAUGGUGGGGGUUGGAAAGUUUCGGCGGUUGGGGAUGGACUCGCGGCUUAUCAGCUUGUUGGUGGGGUAGUGGCUUACCAAGGGUUUGACGGGUAGCCGGCCUGAGAGGGUGACGGGCCACAUUGGGACUGAGAUACGGCCCAGACUCCUACGGGAGGCAGCAGUGGGGAAUAUUGCACAAUGGGCGGAAGCCUGAUGCAGCAACGCCGCGUGCGGGAUGACGGCCUUCGGGUUGUAAACCGCUUUCGCCUGUGACGAAGCGUGAGUGACGGUAAUGGGUAAAGAAGCACCGGCUAACUACGUG